Molecule: ribosomal RNA, 67 nt
Filed under: uncultured Staphylococcus sp.
Lineage: Bacteria; Bacillati; Bacillota; Bacilli; Caryophanales; Staphylococcaceae
Description: partial 16S ribosomal RNA
Source: RNAcentral
UGGGGAAUAUUGGGCAAUGGAGGAAACUCUGACCCAGCAGCCGCGGUAAUAAUCACUAGUGAAUUCG